Molecule: ribosomal RNA, 479 nt
Filed under: uncultured bacterium
Lineage: Bacteria
Description: bacterial SSU rRNA
Rfam family: Bacterial small subunit ribosomal RNA
Source: RNAcentral
UGCGAACUCCUACGGGAGGCAGCAGUGGGGAAUUUUGGACAAUGGGCGCAAGCCUGAUCCAGCCAUGCCGCGUGCAGGAUGAAGGCCUUCGGGUUGUAAACUGCUUUUGUACGGAACGAAAAGGUCCUUUCUAAUAAAGAGGGCCCAUGACGGUACCGUAAGAAUAAGCACCGGCUAACUACGUGCCAGCAGCCGCGGUAAUACGUAGGGUGCAAGCGUUAAUCGGAAUUACUGGGCGUAAAGCGUGCGCAGGCGGUGAUGUAAGACAGUUGUGAAAUCCCCGGGCUCAACCUGGGAACUGCAUCUGUGACUGCAUCGCUGGAGUGCGGCAGAGGGGGAUGGAAUUCCGCGUGUAGCAGUGAAAUGCGUAGAUAUGCGGAGGAACACCGAUGGCGAAGGCAAUCCCCUGGGCCUGCACUGACGCUCAUGCACGAAAGCGGGGGGAGCAAACAGGAUUAGAAACCCCAGUAGUCCAGAUG